This 225-nucleotide unclassified non-coding RNA is filed under the name uncultured fungus. RNAcentral's name for it is "sequence contains ITS1, 5.8S rRNA gene". The stretch from base 177 to 225 matches the Rfam family "5.8S ribosomal RNA", at positions 1 to 49 of the family's 154-position model. Lineage: Eukaryota; Fungi. The record is from RNAcentral.
UCUCCGUAGGUGAACCUGCGGAGGGAUCAUUACCGAGUGAGGGCUCACGCCCGACCUCCAUCCCUUUGUAAUCCAUACCAUGUUGCCUCGGGGGCGACCCUGCCUUCGUGCGAGGCGCCCCCGGAGGCUCAUUAAACACUGCAUCUUUGCGUCGGAGUCUUAAUGAAUUUAAACAAAACUUUUAACAACGGAUCUCUUGGUUCUGGCAUCGAUGAAGAACGCAGC